GAGAUAGUAGUAUAAAUUUUUAAUAUGUCCUUUUUUCGCGAGGGAGAUUUGUUAUCUUA
RNAcentral lists this transfer RNA (59 nucleotides) under Heterakis dispar. RNAcentral describes it as "tRNA-Glu". Lineage: Eukaryota; Metazoa; Nematoda; Chromadorea; Rhabditida; Heterakidae. The record is from RNAcentral.